Long non-coding RNA from Xiphophorus couchianus (Monterrey platyfish), 1256 nucleotides. RefSeq lists it as uncharacterized. The record is from RefSeq and is a predicted model, not a curated record. NCBI's taxonomy places the organism in Eukaryota, Metazoa, Chordata, Actinopteri, Cyprinodontiformes, Poeciliidae. The transcript has 3 exons.
GCUGACAUCAUCAUUGGUUUUGUAGGAUACAGUGCUGCCUUUAUUCCAGCAGCCAUAUGUGUGUGUGGGCGUGUGUGUGUGUGUGUGUGUGUGUGGGGGUGUGUGUGUUUGUGUGCGUGUGAGAGAGAGGAAGUAAAAGAGCAACAUCUUCCAUGCUGCUGAUGAGGCUGGAGGCUGAGGAGCAGAAUGCAGGUGACAGCAGAAGAGAUGACGCUCUCAACAACAGACUGAUAGAAGAUCUGCAGCAUCUUGGUGCAAACCUUGAAGGAUCUUAGCUUCCUCAGGAAGUCCAGUCUGCUCUGUCCCUUCAUAUAGACGCUUCUCGCUCCAGUCCAGUCCAGUCUGUUGUCCAGAUGAACACAGAGACAACUGCAGAAUCAUCUGAGUAUUUGAAUAGAUGACAGACAUGGGACUUGAGCUGGAAAUCUGAAGUGUACAGAGUGAAAAUGAAUGGUGAGAGUACAGCUCCCUGUGGUGCUCCUGUGCUGCCGACCACCUGGUUAGACACACAGUUCUUCAGUUUCACAAACUUUGCUCUGUUUGUGAGGUAGUCGUGGAUCCAGGUGGUUGCCUUGACGUGAUACAAGUGGAGAAGGUUUGUCAGCCAUAUCAAAAUUUGUGUAUAUCACAAAACUGCAAUGGAAAUACUUUUUUUUUUUGCGUCAUGCCUGUUUGCAUACAGCAGCAAAACUAAAGAGGAAGAAAAAAGUUAUUUUGCACCAGAAUGAAAAUGGUGUUUUUGUGUCCUUCUUAAGCCAUGAUGCAGGGCUAAACUCUUCUGCUGAGCUCAACAGAUACGGGUUCUUCAAAGCACAUCUGUUGUUAACAGCUGUUGUGUUUUUAGCAGAAACCAAAUACUGAAAAAAAUAAAGAGGAAGCAUAAUUUUCCAUAAUUUUCUAUUUAAAUAAACCUUGGAUUAAAAAAAAAAAUGUUGACAAGGUUUUUUCUGGUACAGCGAUUUUUAGGUAUUCUUUUGUCACAAAGUAUUGUGGUUGGAUGAUACGUAACAAGCACGCCCUCCCCCCUCCACCAGUAGGUUACAUGAGAGAAAACACCUCAUUAGAGAAGCUCUGGCUGAAGGCUCAUUAUACAGAGAGAACUGAGGAAGGAACAGAAAAUAUUACCACAUAAACCGGAACUUGUGAAGCUUCUGACCACGACUGUAGCUUGUGUUUCAGUGAGUAACCACAAACAUUACGGCUGAGAAAAAGUCUGAAAAAACUUACAGUGAGAAGGAAGUACUGGCCAAAGAGCA